CUUAACUCUAAUGGCUGCGCCUCACCAGUCCAGCUGGGAGCCGGUGUCUGUCGCUGCGCAUGUCGGACUCAAGGCGUUUCUAAGCCUCGGUCAGACGCUCAUGUUGCUGCCUCUCAGCCUUUAGAUGUGAUUGUGGAUGAAAACCUUCUGCUGAUAUCACGGUUUGACUAGUGGGAACAGACAGUAACUUGGGAGCAGCUUCAUUCAAAGGAUUAGCAGCCAGUUAAUGCUUUUUAACAGUGGCGCACAUUAGUCAGGUGGAUGCGAAAACAUAAAUCAGCCCCCCCCCCGAGGGAAGGAACUUCAGGGUGAAGGACCGACGCUCAAACAGGAUGACAAAAUGAACAGCAGUUACUCAGACAUCAGACUUGUUUGCCUUUACUGGUGAUGAAAACUCGUCAGGAAAGGAAGAGGAGAGAGGAAGAGGAGAGAGGAAGACCGGCUCCGCCCCGUCCAGGAUGACCGUCAAGGUAGCCAACAAAGUCUGCAGGUAGAUUUUUGCAUAUCUGGUGCUCCGGUUUCCAGAUCAUAGUUUAACAAAGUAA
Molecule: long non-coding RNA, 545 nt
Organism: Poecilia latipinna (sailfin molly)
Lineage: Eukaryota; Metazoa; Chordata; Actinopteri; Cyprinodontiformes; Poeciliidae
Exons: 2
Source: RefSeq, a predicted model, not a curated record